CAAAGGUCAAGAUUUAACAAAAUUAGUAACUUUACUAUUUCAUAGACAUUCAUUAGAAGAACUGGCCUGUUUGUACUGUGAGUGUGUGGCAUGAGGAACCCACUGUCUUAACGCAGUUUUAACCACUGCUGCUUUUGCGCUGUUAUCACAGCAAAUGUCAACACAUUGAAAAAGGAAAACAAUGUCAUAGUCUAAUUAUGAAACAGUUGUGACCUCACAGACCCCCCACCCUACCCCCGCAACUAAAAGGAUCCCAGGGCCCUCCAGGGAUCCACAGAACACACUUUGAAAACCACUGGUCUAAACAAUCUGAUGUUGGGGGAAAGGUGUCCUGCCCAUACCCUGACCUGGCGUGAGCAAUUCUCCUUCAUCCUGGGGCUUACAGCUUUGGGAAGGAGGAAGCUAGCUUUUUUCAGAGGGCAGGUGAUGGAGGGGGAUCUCUCUUUGUAGCCACUGUCCAUGGAGGCCGCUCACCCCCUGUGAGUGGCACAUACCCAGCCAAUGACUGACUGGAUCACCCCAGGAAUGUUGUACUCCUGCAGGCGAAACAGGUCCGAGGGCUCACAGUCCACAGUGAAGCUGUUGGUGUCGUUGUUGUACUCCACAGGGCAGACAAAGCAUCUGUACCCGGACAUCACAUAGGACAGCUGAGGAGGAAUAACAGAGAGACCGGCAAGGAGGUUGUGGAUAACAAGAUGUGACUGUGUUACAACAAUCAGCAAUGUCACAUGGGUCCAGCCAAACUGCAAAAAGAAGAAAAAUAAACACUACUUAACAGUUUACCUUGAAAGUAACUUCAAAGAACAAUCAAUACCAAAUAGAAAACUGCUGAGAAGCAGACUGCUUGUUCCUGUGAACCAACCAGUGAUCUCUGGCUGCAGCUCAGAAGAAACAAGAGGGAUUGGUGAUGUAAAAAUCUGAAUCAGUAUUCUAAUUCUGGGAACAUAUUGCAAUCAGCUACCGACCCCGUAUCAGCUUGGUUCCAACAAUUACCCAGUUCAUGGAAAGCCUUCUUUAGUUUACUUGGGAUAGUUUUGCUUAUUUUGCUUUACUGAUAUGGAAUAGUUGUACUAUUUGUGUAGGAAUGCAGGAUAAGCUUACUCAAUGUUCUCUUAAACACUUACAAAAUCUUCCAGAUAUCACUUUGUGUCCGAGCUGUGAAUGGCCCUAACCAUACUGACACUUUCUGACUGAGCUCCUCUCUACCCUGAAUACAAGAGACCUCGAUAGGUAGGCAGGAAUAUCAUUGCCCCUAAUCAGCCUGAAGAAGUUACAGAGGAUGGAUCUUCGUCCCUCUGCAACCCUUAGGAUUAAGGGUUCUCUUAUAAAAGUGAUGGGGGAAAUGUCAGAGGCAUUUGAGCUAGAGCAACUCCAUCCUGAAUAGGAGCUGGGUAAAAUGAGGCUGAGAUCUACAGGGUCUGCAUUCCCAGACGGUUAGGUAUUCUAAGUCACAGGAUGACAUAGGAGGUCACACAAGAUACAGGUCAUAAAGACCUUGCUGAGAAAACAAUUGCAGUAAAGAAGCUGGCCAAACCCCUCCAAAAUCAAGAUAGCAAUGAGAAUGACCUCUGCUUGUCCUCAUUGCUACACUCCAAUCAG
This 1599-nucleotide long non-coding RNA is filed under the name Pan troglodytes (chimpanzee). Its description in RNAcentral is "long non-coding RNA NONPTRT009111". The record is from RNAcentral. Lineage: Eukaryota; Metazoa; Chordata; Mammalia; Primates; Hominidae.